CAACCCUCGAGCCCCUCGCGGGGCCCGGCGUUGGGGAUCGGGGACCCCUCAGACGGGAUCCCGGCCCCGAAAUACAGUGGCGGUCUCGCCGCGGCCCUCCCCUGCGCAGUAGUUUGCACAACUCGCACCGGGAGCGCGGCGCGCCCACGCCCGUAAAACACCCAACUUUCUGAAA
RNAcentral lists this unclassified non-coding RNA (175 nucleotides) under uncultured Trichoderma. Its description in RNAcentral is "sequence contains ITS2". Lineage: Eukaryota; Fungi; Ascomycota; Sordariomycetes; Hypocreales; Hypocreaceae. The record is from RNAcentral.